RNAcentral lists this ribosomal RNA (978 nucleotides) under Triticum aestivum (bread wheat). RNAcentral's name for it is "partial small subunit ribosomal RNA". The record is from RNAcentral. Lineage: Eukaryota; Viridiplantae; Streptophyta; Magnoliopsida; Poales; Poaceae.
AUGGCGAAUCACCCAGGCAUGAACCUCCAGUCCCUGUUUGCCAUCAUCAGGGUGAUGGCAGAGCAUCUUCGACAGCACGACCGAGUCGGGCUUGUGCCCUUCUCCGAGCAUCCUUCUCCAGACCUCCGUUGCCUGAGGAGAGAGGCCACCGUGCCCCAGCAAGCCAGCGAGCAUGACGUUCCACGAGACGGCGUCCCUCUCCGGCAUUGCGUCAAACACCUGGCACGCCAUCUCCAGGUCGCCGCACUGGGCGUACAUCUCCACGAGGGCGUCGCACACGGAGACGUCGGCAGCGAGGCCGGCGCUCACGGCGUCGCGGUGCACGGCCCGACCGAGCUCGGCGGACCGGGCGCCUGCGCAGGCCCGGAGCGCGCUCUCGAAGGUGAACCCGUCGCGCGGGGCGCCCUCCUCGUCCAUCUGGAGGUAGAGGGCAAGCGCAUCGUCGUAGCGGCCGACGUGUGCGUAGCCGGCGACGAGGCAGUUCCACGGGAACGCGCGGUCCCGGCGGGUGCGCGCGGGAAGGAGGUGGUCGAAGAUGUGGUGCGCGUAGGCGAGGAGGCCGAGGGAGGCGUGGAUGUGGAGGAGGCGGAGCGCGAGGUCCGGGUGGCGGCGGAGGAGGGAGACGGGCAGGAGGCCGCGGAGGGCCGCGAGGCGGCGGCGCGGGGACGGGUGGAGCGGGAGCGCGGCGAGGAGCGGGGCGAGGAGGGACGGCGUGAGGAGGCGCGGCUGGGCCUCCAGGUCGGAGAACACGCGGUCGAGGGUCGCCGGACGUGUCGGCGGCGGUGUCGGCGUGGAGAGGGGAGGGGCGAGGCGGGUGGAGGGAGCCGGAGCGCGGCGGUGGCGCCGCCGCGGGAGCGCGCGCGAGGCGUGGGUGACAGCUGCGGUCAGCGCCAUUGGUUGCUUAUCGUUGCUUUUCAGUUCAGAAAGCUGUCAGUCAGUCUUUUUCUUAACGCAACGCAGACGCAAGAGCUCGUAUAA